UCCGGUUGAUCCUGCCGGACCUGACUGCUAUCGGAUUGAUACUAAGCCAUGCGAGUCAUUGUAGCAAUACAAGGCAGACGGCUCAGUAACGCGUAGUCAACCUACCCUAUGGACGGGAAUAACCUCGGGAAACUGAGUAUAAUGCCCGAUAGAACACUAUACCUGGAAUGGUUUGUGUUCCAAAUGAUUUAUCGCCGUAGGAUGGGACUGCGGCCUAUCAGUUUGUUGGUGAGGUAAUGGCCCACCAAGACUAUUACAGGUACGGGCUCUGAGAGGAGUGGCCCGGAGAUGGGUACUGGGACACGGACCCAGGCCCUAUGGGGCGCAGCAGGCGAGAAAACUUUGCAAUGUGCGAAAGCACGACAAGGUUAAUCCGAGUGGUUUCUGCUAAAGGAACCUUUUGUUAGUCCUAGAAACACUAACGAAUAAGGGGUGGGCAAGUUCUGGUGUCAGCCGCCGCGGUAAAACCAGCACCUCAAGUGGUCAGGAUGAUUAUUGGGCCUAAAGCAUCCGUAGCCGGCUCUGUAAGUUUUCGGUUAAAUCUGUACGCUUAACGUACAGGCUGCCGGGAAUACUGCAGAGCUAGGGAGUGGGAGAGGUAGACGGUACUCGGGAGGAAGUGGUAAAAUGCUUUGAUCUCUCGAUGACCACCUGUGGCGAAGGCGGUCUACCAGAACACGUCCGACGGUGAGGGAUGAAAGCUGGGGGAGCAAACCGGAUUAGAUACCCGGGUAGUCCCAGCUGUAAACUAUGCAAACUCAGUGAUGCAUUGGCUUGUGGCCACUGCAGUGUUGCAGGGAAGCCGUUAAGUU
RNAcentral lists this ribosomal RNA (812 nucleotides) under uncultured sediment archaeon. RNAcentral's name for it is "bacterial SSU rRNA". It matches the Rfam family "Archaeal small subunit ribosomal RNA", at positions 1 to 821 of the family's 1478-position model. The record is from RNAcentral.